AACCAAUCCAACCGGGACCCUGACCGGGACCAGCAGGUGCUCCGACUGAACCUGACCGGGACCGGGACAGGACCGGGACGGAGAGGGAGAUGGAGAGGGGUGGGUGGGUCGACUGUUGGGUGAAGGGGAAAAUCAGCGAUGUCAUUACCAAAACAUUCCUGCACUGAAAGAGAGAGAGAGAGAGAGAGAGAGAGGGGGGAAUACAGAGCAAGAGAAAGUAAUGUAGAGAAAGAGAGUGUUAGAAAGAGAGAGUGGUAGAGAGAGAGAAUGGUAAAAAGAUGAAAAGAGAGAGAUAUAAUGGAAGGAAAAGAGAGGGGAAGAAAGAAAGAGUAGUAGAAAGAGAGAAGUAGUAGAGAGAGAGAAUGGUAUAUCCAGAGAGUGGAAGAGAGAGUGGUAGAAAGAGAGAGGGGGAGAAAGGAAAAGGGAGAGAAAGAGAGAGAGAAAGGUAGAGAAAGACUGCUAGAAAGAGGGAGAGUGGUAGAGAGAGAGAAUGGUAGAGAAAGACUGCUAGAAAGAGAGAGAGAGUGGUAGAGAGAAAUUGAGGAUGUUACAGAACAUAAAAAAGUAAUAGAGAGAGAGUGGUAGAGAGAGAGAAUGGUAGAAAGAGAGAGUGGUAGAAAGAGAGAGAGUGGUAGAGAAAGUGGUAGAAAGAGAGAGUGGUAGAAAGAGAGAGUGUGGUAGAGAAAGUGGUAGAAAGAGAGAGUGGCAGAAAGAGAGAGUGGUAGAAAGAGAGAGUGGCAGAAAGAGAGAGUGGUAGAAAGAGAGAGAGAGUUUUAUGCUUUGGCAGUAGUGUUGCUUGUUAUAUUCAUGCCAAUAAAGCACUGUUGAACUGAACUGAGAGUAGUAGAGAGAGAGAAUGGUAAAAAGAGAGAAUUCGGUAGAGAGAGGGUAGUGAGUGGUAAAGAGAGUGAGUGGUAGAGAAAACAGUGAGGGUUUAACUGAGCAGGAGAGAGAGAUAGAGAGAGAGGUAGAAAGAAAGAGGGGUGGAGAGAAAGCCGAGUGUGUUUCAGAGCAGGAGAGAGUGAUAAAGAGAGAGAAAGAGUGAUAGAGUGCUAUAGAGAGAGAGAGAGGUCUGGAAAUGAGGUGUGUUCAGGUACAUUUCUGGAGUUUUAUCUUGUUUAUCUUGGUAACAGAAAACACAGGAGCUCCACUGACUGAAUACAACCUAGACAGACGCCAACAGUCAGACGUUCAUC
Long non-coding RNA from Astyanax mexicanus (Mexican tetra), 1196 nucleotides. RefSeq lists it as uncharacterized. The transcript has 3 exons. Lineage: Eukaryota; Metazoa; Chordata; Actinopteri; Characiformes; Acestrorhamphidae. The record is from RefSeq and is a predicted model, not a curated record.